AGCAAGACAAAGGUGAUGAUCCAUUGGCUAAGAAAAAACCAAAUCAAAUACAAGACAAAAUAAGAAAACUAAUUUGGUUGAGCUUAUAAAUAAGUAAAUAGUAAAUGAUAAUAGAUAAGAAGAGGUUCAUUAAGAGAAUAUAAAUAAGAGUUGUAUCAUUUGCGAACUUCACUUUGUUCUUCAUGGCACGAUUGAUUGUAAUAAAACAAUAUUUCCUCCCCCUCAUAUGCAUUGAACAUUCGGAGUCCAAAUACCAUUAAUCGUUGCACUGCACUGCUUCUUUCAAAAUCACCAUUGGAUUUUCUUAAGCAUGUAACCAGUUACUGCAUUUAUGUAACCAGUUACAACAUGCUUUUGCAGAAAUUUUCAAAUUGUUGAUGUUUUUGUCCCGUAGCCUACUGCUGUUACAUUCCCCCUCUGUGAUCAUGACCAAAAAUAUGUUCUCAUUGUCAACUCUUGCCUUGAAACUCUAGCUUCAUCUUCUUAAGGUUGUUUCUUGUUGGAAUUGAACUCUCUUGUAAAAUGCUCAAGCUUUUGACAAUUAAAGCACCACACGCUGCUAUUGUUAACCAUUCUUCUUCCACCUCUACCUCUUAGAUUGCCUCAUCUAGAUUUGUUUGAUUUAGAAACACUACUACCAUCGUUUUCACCCUUUUAGAAUGUUGAAUCCUUGGAACUUUGGGACUCUUUUCUACCAAAAUUCUGAAAAUCCUUUCUACCUUUGCUCAUAGACCACUUUCCCUUCACCUUUUUGUCUCUCUCAUUGAAUCAGGCUUACAAAGUGAUCUUCGUAUUUACCUUAUCAAU
RNAcentral lists this long non-coding RNA (807 nucleotides) under Lathyrus oleraceus (garden pea). RNAcentral describes it as "Pisum sativum (pea) long non-coding RNA (PSAT_LNC031135)". Lineage: Eukaryota; Viridiplantae; Streptophyta; Magnoliopsida; Fabales; Fabaceae. The record is from RNAcentral.